AAGUUGACCGCCUGGGGAGUACGGCCGCAAGGUUAAAACUCAAAUGAAUUGACGGGGGCCCGCACAAGCGGUGGAGCAUGUGGUUUAAUUCGAUGCAACGCGAAGAACCUUACCUACCCUUGACAUGUAGUGAACUUACCAGAGAUGGUUUGGUGCCUUCGGGAACACUAACACAGGUGCUGCAUGGCUGUCGUCAGCUCGUGUCGUGAGAUGUUGGGUUAAGUCCCGUAACGAGCGCAACCCUUAUCCUUAGUUGCUAGCAGGUAAUGCUGAGAACUCUAGGGAGACUGCCAGUGAUAAACUGGAGGAAGGUGGGGACGACGUCAAGUCAUCAUGGCCCUUAUGGGUAGGGCUACACACGUGCUACAAUGGUCGGUACAGAGGGCCGCAAACUCGCGAGAGUAAGCAAAUCCCAGAAAGCCGAUCUUAGUCCGGAUUGCAGUCUGCAACUCGACUGCAUGAAGUUGGAAUCGCUAGUAAUCGCGGAUCAGAAUGCCGCGGUGAAUACGUUCCCGGGCCUUGUACACACCGCCCGUCACACCAUGGGAGUGGGUUGCAAAAGAAGUAGGUAGUCUAACCUUCGGGAGGGCGCUUACCACUUUGUGAUUCAUGACUGGGGUGAAGUCGUAACAAGGUA
RNAcentral lists this ribosomal RNA (637 nucleotides) under uncultured bacterium. Its description in RNAcentral is "bacterial SSU rRNA". It matches the Rfam family "Bacterial small subunit ribosomal RNA", at positions 862 to 1498 of the family's 1533-position model. The record is from RNAcentral.